AUUGAACGCUGGCGGCAGGCCUAACACAUGCAAGUCGAGCGGAUGAAGGGAGCUUGCUCGUGGAUUCAGCGGCGGACGGGUGAGUAAUGCCUAGGAAUCUGCCUGGUAGUGGGGGAUAACGUCCGGAAACGGGCGCUAAUACCGCAAACGUCCUGAGGGAGAAAGUGGGGGAUCUUCGGACCUUACGCUAUCAGAUGAGCCUAGGUCGGAUUAGCUAGUUGGUGGGGUAAAGGCCUACCAAGGCGACGAUCCGUAACUGGUCUGAGAGGAUGAUCAGUCACACUGGAACUGAGACACGGUCCAGACUCCUACGGGAGGCAGCAGUGGGGAAUAUUGGACAAUGGGCGAAAGCCUGAUCCAGCCAUGCCGCGUGUGUGAAGAAGGUCUUCGGAUUGUAAAGCACUUUUAGUUGGGAGGAAGGGCAGUAAGUUAAUACCUUGCUGUUUUGACGUUACCAAAAGAAUAAGCACCGGCUAACUUCGUG
This 484-nucleotide ribosomal RNA is filed under the name uncultured bacterium. Its description in RNAcentral is "partial 16S ribosomal RNA". It matches the Rfam family "Bacterial small subunit ribosomal RNA", at positions 30 to 507 of the family's 1533-position model. The record is from RNAcentral.